Molecule: microRNA precursor, 180 nt
Filed under: Oryza brachyantha (malo sina)
Lineage: Eukaryota; Viridiplantae; Streptophyta; Magnoliopsida; Poales; Poaceae
Description: MIR812 microRNA precursor family
Rfam family: MIR812 microRNA precursor family
Source: Rfam by way of RNAcentral
AAUAAAUUUAUUUUUCAGUUUUUACCUAUAAUGUUUUGACUCUUUCGUCUUAUUUGAAUUUUUUUUACGAUUACUGGAUGAUAAAAUAUGAAUAGUACUUUAUGCUUGACUAUUUUUUUAAAAUUUUUGUAUAAAUUUUUCAAAUAAGACGAAUGAUCAAACUUUCGAUACAGAAAUCGA